RNAcentral lists this transfer RNA (73 nucleotides) under Camelus bactrianus (Bactrian camel). It matches the Rfam family "tRNA". Rfam says of the family: Transfer RNA (tRNA) molecules are approximately 80 nucleotides in length. Their secondary structure includes four short double-helical elements and three loops (D, anti-codon, and T loops). Lineage: Eukaryota; Metazoa; Chordata; Mammalia; Artiodactyla; Camelidae. The record is from Rfam by way of RNAcentral. RNAcentral also lists the same sequence under 2 other names.
AGGGGUGUAGCUCAGUGGUAAGAGUGAAUGCUUGGCAAGCAUGAGGACCUGGGUUCAAUCCCCAGUACCUCCA